RNAcentral lists this ribosomal RNA (446 nucleotides) under uncultured bacterium. RNAcentral describes it as "bacterial SSU rRNA". It matches the Rfam family "Bacterial small subunit ribosomal RNA", at positions 355 to 796 of the family's 1533-position model. The record is from RNAcentral.
UCGAGGAUCUUCGGCAAUGGACGCAAGUCUGACCGAGCGACGCCGCGUGCGGGAUGAAGGCCUUCGGGUUGUAAACCGCUGUCAGUGGGGAGAAAAUUCAUACGGGUACUCUCGUAUGAUUGAUCUAUCCGCAGAGGAAGUGUGGGCUAAGUUCGUGCCAGCAGCCGCGGUAAGACGAACCACACAAACGUUAUUCGGAAUUACUGGGCUUAAAGGGUGCGUAGGCUGCGCAGAAAGUUGGGUGUGAAAUACCUCGGCUCAACCGAGGAACUGCGCCCAAAACUACUGUGCUCGAGGGAGAUAGAGGUAAGCGGAACUGAGGGUGGAGCGGUGAAAUGCGUUGAUAUCCUCAGGAACACCGGUGGCGAAAGCGGCUUACUGGAUCUCUUCUGACGCUGAGGCACGAAAGCUAGGGUAGCGAACGGGAUUAGAUACCCCCGUAGUCC